GUGGGGAAUAUUGCACAAUGGGCGAAAGCCUGAUGCAGCGACGCCGCGUGAGGGAUGAAGGCCUUCGGGUUGUAAACCUCUUUCAGCUCUGAAGAAGCGAAAGUGACGGUAGGAGCAGAAGAAGCACCGGCUAACUACGUGCCAGCAGCCGCGGUAAUACGUAGGGUGCGAGCGUUGUCCGGAAUUAUUGGGCGUAAAGAGCUUGUAGGUGGUUUGUCGCGUCUGCGGUGAAAUCCCAACGCUUAACGUUGGGCUUGCCGUGGGUACGGGCAGACUAGAGUGUGGUAGGGGAGACUGGAAUUCCUGGUGUAGCGGUGAAAUGCGCAGAUAUCAGGAGGAACACCGAUGGCGAAGGCAGGUCUCUGGGCCAUAACUGACACUGAGAAGCGAAAGCAUGGGGAGCGAACAGGAUUAGAAACCCUAGUAGUCC
Molecule: ribosomal RNA, 430 nt
Filed under: uncultured bacterium
Lineage: Bacteria
Description: bacterial SSU rRNA
Rfam family: Bacterial small subunit ribosomal RNA
Source: RNAcentral